Molecule: non-coding RNA, 136 nt
Organism: Chelonoidis abingdonii (Abingdon island giant tortoise)
Lineage: Eukaryota; Metazoa; Chordata; Testudines; Testudinidae
Source: RefSeq, a predicted model, not a curated record
GUGGCAGAGAGGCAGAGAAAAAAGAGAUGAGAGAGUGAGAGAGAUCAGCUGCACAUGUGUAGUUGUGAUGUUUAUGACACAUGUACAUUGUAACUGAACAACCCAGGCUGACAGUUUUUAAUAAUUAUUUUGAUAA